Molecule: non-coding RNA, 135 nt
Organism: Triticum aestivum (bread wheat)
Lineage: Eukaryota; Viridiplantae; Streptophyta; Magnoliopsida; Poales; Poaceae
Source: Rfam
AUUGUACUCCCUCCGUCACAAAAGUCUUGUCUUAAAUUUUUCUAAAUACGGAUGUAUCAAGUCACGUUUUAGUAUUAGAUACAUCCGUAUCUAGACAAAUCUAAGACAAGAAUUGUGGGACGGAGGGAGUAUGUA